Molecule: long non-coding RNA, 811 nt
Organism: Xiphophorus maculatus (southern platyfish)
Lineage: Eukaryota; Metazoa; Chordata; Actinopteri; Cyprinodontiformes; Poeciliidae
Exons: 4
Source: RefSeq, a predicted model, not a curated record
AGAAGAAAAGACGAGAUGUAGCUCCUUCCUCUCUCUCUUUGUCCUCCAUCCUUUCACUUCAUUGUAUUGCAGUGUUUACAGGCAAAAAAACAAUAAUAAAAAAGAUGCCUGUAAACACUGCGCUAUCAUUUCUACCGAAUAACUAUAAAUUGUAUUCCAGCCGAUAGUAUGUCUGUGCAAACUACAUUCAAACUGUGACGGUCAACUAAAUGCACAUUUUUUUUAUUUUUAUUUGAUUUGAUUUGAUGAGUCAAACGCAACGUUUGGGUCACGCAGCACGCGCAUUCCAGAAUGUGAAAUAAUGACCAAGAGAGCAGUCAGUGCUGCCGUACUGCGGUCAAGCAUUUACCUCUUAAAUCAGCUCUGUGUUUGGCCACGGCUCGUGGCCGCGCGCACUGGAAGACGCAGCGGGUUCAAUGCGCCUCGGCUGGGAAAGAGAAGCUGGAAGGAGGAAAGAGACGAAGCUGCUGGCUGCGAGAAAGAGGAACAUUGAGCUCUGAUGAUCUGCGAUAUGAUCCAUGUUUGAGGAUGACUACUGCAUAGCAAGACAGAAAUAUUGCGUGGCUGCAGAAGUGUCACAUCUCUAAACAGAGACAGAAGCAGAGGUCAUGGAGGGUAGGGCUAAAAGAAAAAGAACUGAACCUCCAACCUCUAAUCCAACUUGGAUAAGAGGCUCAUACCAGCUUCAGCAACUGACAACAUGUUACACACAAGACAAGGACACUUGGAAUGUGUCUAUCAUUAUAUUUUUAAUUUGAUUCUUUGAUUACAUAAUUAAAUAAUUAAUUAAAUAUUUAAUUCAAAUAAAAAA